GAUGAACGCUGGCGGCGUGCCUAAUACAUGCAAGUCGAGCGAACAGACGAGGAGCUUGCUCCUCUGACGUUAGCGGCGGACGGGUGAGUAACACGUGGAUAACCUACCUAUAAGACUGGGAUAACUUCGGGAAACCGGAGCUAAUACCGGAUAAUAUAUUGAACCGCAUGGUUCAAUAGUGAAAGACGGUUUUGCUGUCACUUAUAGAUGGAUCCGCGCCGCAUUAGCUAGUUGGUAAGGUAACGGCUUACCAAGGCGACGAUGCGUAGCCGACCUGAGAGGGUGAUCGGCCACACUGGAACGGGGACGCGGUCCAUACUCCUACGGGAGGCAGCAGUAGGGAAUCUUCGGCAAUGGGCGAAAGCAUGACGGAGCAACGCCGCGUGAGUGAUGAAGGUCUUCGGAUCGUAAAACUCUGUUAUUAGGGAAGAACAAAUGUGUAAGUAACUAUGCACGUCUUGACGGUACCUAAUCAGAAAGCCACGGCUAACUACGUG
This 497-nucleotide ribosomal RNA is filed under the name uncultured bacterium. RNAcentral describes it as "partial 16S ribosomal RNA". It matches the Rfam family "Bacterial small subunit ribosomal RNA", at positions 28 to 507 of the family's 1533-position model. The record is from RNAcentral.